Molecule: transfer RNA, 62 nt
Filed under: Caenorhabditis plicata
Lineage: Eukaryota; Metazoa; Nematoda; Chromadorea; Rhabditida; Rhabditidae
Description: tRNA-Ile
Source: RNAcentral
ACCUUUCUAGUAAAAUAUUAUUACGCUAUCUUGAUAAGGUAGAAUUCCGUUUGGGAGAGGUA